Molecule: ribosomal RNA, 460 nt
Filed under: uncultured Erysipelothrix sp.
Lineage: Bacteria; Bacillati; Bacillota; Erysipelotrichia; Erysipelotrichales; Erysipelotrichaceae
Description: bacterial SSU rRNA
Rfam family: Bacterial small subunit ribosomal RNA
Source: RNAcentral
ACCCCGCACAAGCGGUGGAUUAUGUUGUUUAAUUUCGACGCAACGCGAAGAACCUUACCAGGCCUUGACAUACUCGGCAAAGCUCUAGAGAUAGAGUGGAGGUUAUCCGGGAUACAGGUGGUGCAUGGUUGUCGUCAGCUCGUGUCGUGAGAUGUUGGGUUAAGUCCCGCAACGAGCGCAACCCUUGUCUUUAGUUACCAUCAUUCAGUUGGGGACUCUAGAGAGACUGCCGGUGAUAAACCGGAGGAAGGUGGGGAUGACGUCAAAUCAUCAUGCCCCUUAUGGCCUGGGCUACAAACGUAAUACAAUGGCGUAUACAAAGGGAUGCGAAAGGGCGACCUGGAGCAAAACUCACAAAGUACGUCUCAGUUCAGAUUGGAGUCUGCAACUCGACUCCAUGAAGGCGGAAUCGCUAGUAACCGCGAAUCAGCAGGUCGCGGUGAAUACGUUCCCGGGCCUC